RNAcentral lists this ribosomal RNA (497 nucleotides) under uncultured bacterium. RNAcentral's name for it is "partial 16S ribosomal RNA". It matches the Rfam family "Bacterial small subunit ribosomal RNA", at positions 28 to 507 of the family's 1533-position model. The record is from RNAcentral.
GAUGAACGCUGGCGGCGUGCCUAAUACAUGCAAGUCGAGCGAACAGACGAGGAGCUUGCUCCUCUGACGUUAGCGGCGGACGGGUGAGUAACACGUGGAUAACCUACCUAUAAGACUGGGAUAACUUCGGGAAACCGGAGCUAAUACCGGAUAAUAUAUUGAACCGCAUGGUUCAAUAGUGAAAGACGGUUUUGCUGUCACUUAUAGAUGGAUCCGCGCCGCAUUAGCUAGUUGGUAAGGUAACGGCUUACCAAGGCAACGAUGCGUAGCCGACCUGAGAGGGUGAUCGGCCACACUGGAACUGAGACACGGUCCAGACUCCUACGGGAGGCAGCAGUAGGGAAACUGCCGCAAUGGGCGAAAGCCUGACGGAGCAACGCCGCGUGAGUGAUGAAGGUCUUCGGAUCGUAAAACUCUGUUAUUAGGGAAGAACAAAUGUGUAAGUAACUAUGCACGUCUUGACGGUACCUAAUCAGAAAGCCACGGCUAACUACGUG